GUGCCCGUAGCUCAGUUGGUAGAGCUCCUGGUUGUGGUCCAGGCGGCCGCGGGUUCAAGUCCCGUCGGGCACC
This 73-nucleotide transfer RNA is filed under the name Propionibacteriaceae bacterium. RNAcentral describes it as "tRNA-His". It matches the Rfam family "tRNA". From Rfam's summary of the family: Transfer RNA (tRNA) molecules are approximately 80 nucleotides in length. Their secondary structure includes four short double-helical elements and three loops (D, anti-codon, and T loops). The record is from RNAcentral. Lineage: Bacteria; Bacillati; Actinomycetota; Actinomycetes; Propionibacteriales; Propionibacteriaceae.